AUGGCCACCUGCCUCUCUGACAUGAUCAAUGACCAUUCCCUUGAUUUUCUGGGAUUACAAGAAACUAUGAAGAAAGACUUCUCCUCUAAAUGCUUGAGGAGAAUUGAUCCCUUUGACAUUUUUCAAUGGACCUGGAUUCCUUCCGUGGGAAAAUUUGGUGGCAUCCUGUGUGGGGUUAGAAGUGAUAAGUUAGAGAUUACUGCCUGUACCAAGGGGAAACAUAUUCUACAACUGGUGCUGCAGGAUAAGCAGAAAAAACUGAAGUGGCUGCUUGUAGUAUAUGGACCAUCCCAUGAGGAGUUGAAAGGGGAAUUUUUGGUCGAGCUUGCUGCAUCCUGCAAUGGGAUGCAAGUGCCUUACAUUGUUGGGGGCGACUUUAACAUCCUUAGGCAUACCGGUGAAAAGAACAAGAAGCUUAAUAGUCACAAAUCUUCUGAUCUAUUUAACUCUAUUAAUACCGUAGCUCUGCGUGAGAUCCAUGUUAAUGGAGGUAAAUACACCUGGACCAACCAACAUGCCCACCCCACCUUGGAAAAAUUGGACUGUAUCCUCAUGUCUGAAGAUUGGGAAGACAUGUUUCCACUCAUUCAUGUUCGGAAACUAGUUUGUGAAUUUUCUGAUCACAAUCCUUUGCUGCUCUCCACUGGGAGGAGGGGAGAGAUGCCCCAAAACCAAGAGAGUUUCGUUUCCAUCUUUCCUGGAUCAAAGACGACAGAUUCCUACCGCUAG
RNAcentral lists this ribosomal RNA (729 nucleotides) under Triticum aestivum (bread wheat). Its description in RNAcentral is "partial small subunit ribosomal RNA". The record is from RNAcentral. Lineage: Eukaryota; Viridiplantae; Streptophyta; Magnoliopsida; Poales; Poaceae.